Molecule: ribosomal RNA, 429 nt
Filed under: uncultured bacterium
Lineage: Bacteria
Description: bacterial SSU rRNA
Rfam family: Bacterial small subunit ribosomal RNA
Source: RNAcentral
AACGCUGGCGGCAUGCCUAACACAUGCAAGUCGAACGAGGACCUUCGGGUCUAGUGGCGCACGGGUGCGUAACGCGUGGGAAUCUGCCUUGGGUUCGGAAUAACAGUUAGAAAUGACUGCUAAUACCGAAUGAUGUCUUCGGACCAAAGAUUUAUCGCCCAAGGAUGAGCCCGCGUCGGAUUAGCUAGUUGGUGAGGUAAAGGCUCACCAAGGCGACGAUCCGUAGCUGGUCUGAGAGGAUGAUCAGCCACACUGGGACUGAGACACGGCCCAGACUCCUACGGGAGGCAGCAGUGGGGAAUAUUGGACAAUGGGCGAAAGCCUGAUCCAGCAAUGCCGCGUGAGUGAUGAAGGCCUUAGGGUUGUAAAGCUCUUUUACCCGGGAUGAUAAUGACAGUACCGGGAGAAUAAGCCCCGGCUAACUCCGUG